Molecule: ribosomal RNA, 1484 nt
Filed under: uncultured organism
Description: 16S ribosomal RNA
Rfam family: Bacterial small subunit ribosomal RNA
Source: RNAcentral
GACGAACGCUUUCGGCGUGCCUAAUACAUGCAAGUCGAACGCUUCUUUUUCCACCGGAGCUUGCUCCACCGGAAAAAGAGGAGUGGCGAACGGGUGAGUAACACGUGGGUAACCUGCCCAUCAGAAGGGGAUAACACUUGGAAACAGGUGCUAAUACCGUAUAACAAUCGAAACCGCAUGGUUUUGAUUUGAAAGGCGCUUUCGGGUGUCGCUGAUGGAUGGACCCGCGGUGCAUUAGCUAGUUGGUGAGGUAACGGCUCACCAAGGCCACGAUGCAUAGCCGACCUGAGAGGGUGAUCGGCCACAUUGGGACUGAGACACGGCCCAAACUCCUACGGGAGGCAGCAGUAGGGAAUCUUCGGCAAUGGACGAAAGUCUGACCGAGCAACGCCGCGUGAGUGAAGAAGGUUUUCGGAUCGUAAAACUCUGUUGUUAGAGAAGAACAAGGAUGAGAGUAACUGUUCAUCCCUUGACGGUAUCUAACCAGAAAGCCACGGCUAACUACGUGCCAGCAGCCGCGGUAAUACGUAGGUGGCAAGCGUUGUCCGGAUUUAUUGGGCGUAAAGCGAGCGCAGGCGGUUUCUUAAGUCUGAUGUGAAAGCCCCCGGCUCAACCGGGGAGGGUCAUUGGAAACUGGGAGACUUGAGUGCAGAAGAGGAGAGUGGAAUUCCAUGUGUAGCGGUGAAAUGCGUAGAUAUAUGGAGGAACACCAGUGGCGAAGGCGGCUCUCUGGUCUGUAACUGACGCUGAGGCUCGAAAGCGUGGGGAGCAAACAGGAUUAGAUACCCUGGUAGUCCACGCCGUAAACGAUGGGUGCUAAGUGUUGGAGGGUUUCCGCCCUUCAGUGCUGCAGCUAACGCAUUAAGCACUCCGCCUGGGGAGUACGACCGCAAGGUUGAAACUCAAAGGAAUUGACGGGGGCCCGCACAAGCGGUGGAGCAUGUGGUUUAAUUCGAAGCAACGCGAAGAACCUUACCAGGUCUUGACAUCCUUUGACCACUCUAGAGAUAGAGCUUCCCCUUCGGGGGCAAAGUGACAGGUGGUGCAUGGUUGUCGUCAGCUCGUGUCGUGAGAUGUUGGGUUAAGUCCCGCAACGAGCGCAACCCUUAUUGUUAGUUGCCAUCAUUCAGUCGGGCACUCUAGCAAGACUGCCGGUGACAAACCGGAGGAAGGUGGGGAUGACGUCAAAUCAUCAUGCCCCUUAUGACCUGGGCUACACACGUGCUACAAUGGGAAGUACAACGAGUCGCGAAGUCGCGAGGCUAAGCUAAUCUCUUAAAGCUUCUCUCAGUUCGGAUUGCAGGCUGCAACUCGCCUGCAUGAAGCCGGAAUCGCUAGUAAUCGCGGAUCAGCACGCCGCGGUGAAUACGUUCCCGGGCCUUGUACACACCGCCCGUCACACCACGAGAGUUUGUAACACCCGAAGUCGGUGAGGUAACCAUUUGGAGCCAGCCGCCUAAGGUGGGAUAGAUGAUUGGGGUGAA